RNAcentral lists this ribosomal RNA (447 nucleotides) under uncultured bacterium. RNAcentral's name for it is "bacterial SSU rRNA". It matches the Rfam family "Bacterial small subunit ribosomal RNA", at positions 329 to 792 of the family's 1533-position model. The record is from RNAcentral.
UCCCAGACUCCUACGGGAGGCAGCAGUGGGGGAUAUUGCACAAUGGGGGAAACCCUGAUGCAGCGACGCCGCGUGGGUGAAGAAGUAUUUCGGUAUGUAAAGCCCUAUCAGCAGGGAAGAACGAAGACGGUACCUGACUAAGAAGCCCCGGCUAACUACGUGCCAGCAGCCGCGGUAAUACGUAGGGGGCGAGCGUUAUCCGGAUUCACUGGGUGUAAAGGGAGCGUAGACGGCCGUGCAAGCCAGGAGUGAAAGCCCGGGGCCCAACCCCGGGACUGCUCUUGGAACUGUGCGGCUGGAGUGCGGGAGGGGCAGGCGGAAUUCCUGGUGUAGCGGUGAAAUGCGUAGAUAUUAGGAGGAACACCAGUGGCGAAGGCGGCUUACUGGACUGUAACUGACGUUGAGGCUCGAAAGCGUGGGGAGCAAACAGGAUUAGAUACCCGAGUA